RNAcentral lists this ribosomal RNA (905 nucleotides) under Ectopseudomonas alcaliphila. Its description in RNAcentral is "bacterial SSU rRNA". It matches the Rfam family "Bacterial small subunit ribosomal RNA", at positions 66 to 968 of the family's 1533-position model. The record is from RNAcentral. Lineage: Bacteria; Pseudomonadati; Pseudomonadota; Gammaproteobacteria; Pseudomonadales; Pseudomonadaceae.
GCGGAUGAGAGAGCUUGCUCUCUGAUUUAGCGGCGGACGGGUGAGUAAUGCCUAGGAAUCUGCCUGGUAGUGGGGGAUAACGUUCCGAAAGGAACGCUAAUACCGCAUACGUCCUACGGGAGAAAGCAGGGGACCUUCGGGCCUUGCGCUAUCAGAUGAGCCUAGGUCGGAUUAGCUAGUUGGUGAGGUAAUGGCUCACCAAGGCGACGAUCCGUAACUGGUCUGAGAGGAUGAUCAGUCACACUGGAACUGAGACACGGUCCAGACUCCUACGGGAGGCAGCAGUGGGGAAUAUUGGACAAUGGGCGAAAGCCUGAUCCAGCCAUGCCGCGUGUGUGAAGAAGGUCUUCGGAUUGUAAAGCACUUUAAGUUGGGAGGAAGGGCAUUAACCUAAUACGUUAGUGUUUUGACGUUACCAACAGAAUAAGCACCGGCUAACUUCGUGCCAGCAGCCGCGGUAAUACGAAGGGUGCAAGCGUUAAUCGGAAUUACUGGGCGUAAAGCGCGCGUAGGUGGUUCGUUAAGUUGGAUGUGAAAGCCCCGGGCUCAACCUGGGAACUGCAUCCAAAACUGGCGAGCUAGAGUACGGUAGAGGGUAGUGGAAUUUCCUGUGUAGCGGUGAAAUGCGUAGAUAUAGGAAGGAACACCAGUGGCGAAGGCGACUACCUGGACUGAUACUGACACUGAGGUGCGAAAGCGUGGGGAGCAAACAGGAUUAGAUACCCUGGUAGUCCACGCCGUAAACGAUGUCAACUAGCCGUUGGAAUCCUUGAGAUUUUAGUGGCGCAGCUAACGCAUUAAGUUGACCGCCUGGGGAGUACGGCCGCAAGGUUAAAACUCAAAUGAAUUGACGGGGGCCCGCACAAGCGGUGAGCAUGUGGUUUAAUUCGAAGCAACGCGAAGAA